Molecule: ribosomal RNA, 424 nt
Filed under: uncultured bacterium
Lineage: Bacteria
Description: bacterial SSU rRNA
Rfam family: Bacterial small subunit ribosomal RNA
Source: RNAcentral
UGAGGAAUAUUGGGCAAUGGACGCAAGUCUGACCCAGCCAUGCCGCGUGCAGGAUGACGGCCCUAUGGGUUGUAAACUGCUUUUGUAUGGGAAGAAACUUUCGCACGUGUGCGGAAUUGACGGUACCAUGCGAAUAAGCAUCGGCUAACUCCGUGCCAGCAGCCGCGGUAAUACGGAGGAUGCAAGCGUUAUCCGGAUUUAUUGGGUUUAAAGGGUGCGCAGGCGGAUUGAUAAGUCAGUGGUGAAAGCCCCCGGCUCAACUGGGGAAUUGCCAUUGAUACUGUCAAUCUAGAGUACAGUUGAAGUGGGCGGAAUGUAGCAUGUAGCGGUGAAAUGCUUAGAUAUGCUACAGAACACCGAUUGCGAAGGCAGCUCACUAAGCUGAAACUGACGCUCAGGCACGAAAGCGUGGGGAGCAAACAGG